Molecule: long non-coding RNA, 217 nt
Filed under: Elaeis guineensis (African oil palm)
Lineage: Eukaryota; Viridiplantae; Streptophyta; Magnoliopsida; Arecales; Arecaceae
Description: long non-coding RNA (EGUI_LNC059003)
Source: RNAcentral
CACGCCUACAUCUCUCUUCAUGUUGAAAAAAUCCCUAAUGCCCCAUAUGAGCUGCGCCCCCUUUUCUUUCUUCUGUGGAAAAUAGGCAUCCCUUUUCUCCUCUUUCUUGUCGCCCAAAAAGAUCAAGGAAGAAGGGGGGCAUCCAACCACAAUCUCAUGAGUGGAGUCCCUUAUCUCUCCCUCUCUUUGGAAGAGAUUUUUAGAGAUUUUCUUUGCU